CGGACGGGUGAGUAAUGUCUGGGAAACUGCCUGAUGGAGGGGGAUAACUACUGGAAACGGUAGCUAAUACCGCAUAACGUCGCAAGACCAAAGAGGGGGACCUUAGGGCCUCUUGCCAUCGGAUGUGCCCAGAUGGGAUUAGCUAGUAGGUGGGGUAACGGCUCACCCAGGCGACGAUCCCUAGCUGGUCUGAGAGGAUGACCAGCCACACUGGAACUGAGACACGGUCCAG
This 232-nucleotide ribosomal RNA is filed under the name uncultured bacterium. RNAcentral describes it as "partial 16S ribosomal RNA". It matches the Rfam family "Bacterial small subunit ribosomal RNA", at positions 99 to 334 of the family's 1533-position model. The record is from RNAcentral.